This 347-nucleotide ribosomal RNA is filed under the name uncultured bacterium. RNAcentral describes it as "bacterial SSU rRNA". It matches the Rfam family "Bacterial small subunit ribosomal RNA", at positions 1 to 334 of the family's 1533-position model. The record is from RNAcentral.
GUGUCUCUAUCAGAGUUUGAUCCUGGCUCAGGAUGAACGCUAGCUACAGGCUUAACACAUGCAAGUCGAGGGGCAGCAUGAAUAUUGGCUUGCCAAUAUUUGAUGGCGACCGGCGCACGGGUGAGUAACACGUAUCCAACCUUCCGGUUACUCGGGGAUAGGCUUUCGAAAGAAAGAUUAAUACCCGAUGUUGCGUAUCUUUCUCCUGAAAGAUACGCCAAAGGAUUCCGGUAACCGAUGGGGAUGCGUUCCAUUAGGCAGUUGGCGGGGUAACGGCCCACCAAACCUUCGAUGGAUAGGGGUUCUGAGAGGAAGGUCCCCCACAUUGGAACUGAGACACGGUCCAA